UACGAAGGGGGGCUAGCGUUGUUCGGAAUUACUGGGCGUAAAGCGCACGUAGGCGGAUAUUUAAGUCAGGGGGUGAAAUCCCAGAGCUCAACUCUGGAACUGCCUUUGAUACUGGGUAUCUAGAGUAUGGAAGAGGUGAGUGGAAUUCCGAGUGUAGAGGUGAAAUUCGUAGAUAUUCGGAGGAACACCAGUGGCGAAGGCGGCUCACUGGUCCAUUACUGACGCUGAGGUGCGAAAGCGUGGGGAGCAAACAGG
This 255-nucleotide ribosomal RNA is filed under the name uncultured bacterium. RNAcentral's name for it is "partial 16S ribosomal RNA". It matches the Rfam family "Bacterial small subunit ribosomal RNA", at positions 524 to 776 of the family's 1533-position model. The record is from RNAcentral.